CGGGGAGUAGCUCAGCUUGGCUUAGAGCGCAACGUUCGGGACGUUGAGGCCGUGGGUUCAAGUCCCACCUCCCCGA
This 76-nucleotide transfer RNA is filed under the name Candidatus Omnitrophota bacterium. RNAcentral's name for it is "tRNA-Pro". It matches the Rfam family "tRNA". From Rfam's summary of the family: Transfer RNA (tRNA) molecules are approximately 80 nucleotides in length. Their secondary structure includes four short double-helical elements and three loops (D, anti-codon, and T loops). Lineage: Bacteria; Pseudomonadati; Candidatus Omnitrophota. The record is from RNAcentral.